UGAAAUAGAAAAAGGGAGAAGAAAGAGGAGAGGCAACAACAUGCAUGAACGACUCAAGUUGGAUUUGAUGGAUAAGUAUUAAUACGUAUUUUGGGAGUGUUGCUUCAUAUUACUACAAGAACACCUGCUAGCUACUGUCGCUUCGUUGUCGGGCGAAUCCCAUCAGCCACUCAUAUAUAAUAUAUCAGGUGCUAUCUUUUCC
Molecule: long non-coding RNA, 202 nt
Filed under: Hordeum vulgare
Lineage: Eukaryota; Viridiplantae; Streptophyta; Magnoliopsida; Poales; Poaceae
Description: long non-coding RNA (HVUL_LNC015663)
Source: RNAcentral